AAAGAUUGAACAAUUUAUAGGCAAACAGGAAAAAUUAUUCUUAAGUUCCAUCCAGUAGUUAGGCACCAACACAAUAUCACAUUCUUCCGUCUUUUGGUUACUGAUUUCGUGAGACAUCCUUCUAGGCAUGUCAGAAGAUACAUAGGGGAGAGAGAUGAGCGCAUGUAGAAUGCAAUAUGUGUAUACUGCAAAUAGAUACAACCUUAACAUGAAUAUCACGUAUGGACCUUCUUUGAGUGUGAACAGGACGAGAAGAAAGAUGGCAGGUUAGCAGAGUGAACAAACUCAAAAUUGUAAGCUGACAUACCUUGUUCAUCAUUAAGCAUCAAAUUCCCAGAAAGUAAAUCAUUGUGAGCAAACACCACUGGAGCAUUGAGAAGGCCCGUCAAUUCCUGGUCCAUCAUCAAGCGACACUCUCAUAAACAGGGAUAGACUUCUUGAUGUUGAAUCAAAACAUAUAAUCAAAGAUACAUAGCACCUUCUAUUCAUCAGCACCAGAUGAAUCAACCAACCAUAAAAAGAAAUCUUACUUUCAGCUGUGUUGCUUCCUUAUGCACUUCCUCGAAUGAAAUUGUCUCGUAUAUCUUCUGCUUAUCAGUAUCUUCAAACUGGAGAGAAGAUGCUGCAAAAGAAGGCCUCGUGCGUUAGAUAUACAUCGAAUACUGCUAGGUAAUAAUCUUAAGA
Molecule: long non-coding RNA, 684 nt
Organism: Hibiscus syriacus
Lineage: Eukaryota; Viridiplantae; Streptophyta; Magnoliopsida; Malvales; Malvaceae
Exons: 2
Source: RefSeq, a predicted model, not a curated record